This 253-nucleotide ribosomal RNA is filed under the name uncultured bacterium. RNAcentral describes it as "partial 16S ribosomal RNA". It matches the Rfam family "Bacterial small subunit ribosomal RNA", at positions 524 to 776 of the family's 1533-position model. The record is from RNAcentral.
UACGUAGGGUGCAAGCGUUGUCCGGAAUUAUUGGGCGUAAAGGGCGCGUAGGCGGCUUUGCAAGUGGCGGGUGAAAUCCCUCGGCUUAACCGAGGAACUGCCUGCCAGACUGUGAGGCUUGAGACCGGGAGAGGUGAGUGGAAUUCCCAGUGUAGCGGUGAAAUGCGUAGAUAUUGGGAGGAACACCAGUGGCGAAGGCGGCUCACUGGACCGGAACUGACGCUGAGGCGCGAAAGCGUGGGGAGCAAACAGG